CGUGGGAACCUGCCUUUCGGUUUGGAAUAACGUCUGGAAACGGACGCUAACACCGGAUACGUCCUUCGGGAGAAAGUUUACGCCGAGAGAGGGGCCCGCGUUGGAUUAGGUAGUUGGUGAGGUAACGGCUCACCAAGCCGACGAUCCGUAGCUGGUUUGAGAGGAUGAUCAGCCCCCCUGGGACUGAGACACGGCCCCGACUCCUUCGGGAGGCAGCAGUGGGGAAUAUUGGACAAUGGGGGCAAGCCUGAUCCAGCAAUGCCGCGUGAGUGAUGAAGGCCUUAGGGUUGUAAAGCUUUUUUGCCCGCGACGAUGAUGACGGUAGCGUGAGAAGAAGCCCCGGCUAACUUCGUG
Molecule: ribosomal RNA, 354 nt
Filed under: uncultured bacterium
Lineage: Bacteria
Description: bacterial SSU rRNA
Rfam family: Bacterial small subunit ribosomal RNA
Source: RNAcentral